This is a long non-coding RNA of Drosophila hydei, 262 nucleotides long. RefSeq lists it as uncharacterized. The record is from RefSeq and is a predicted model, not a curated record. Lineage: Eukaryota; Metazoa; Arthropoda; Insecta; Diptera; Drosophilidae. The transcript is spliced from 2 exons.
UGGAAUAAUUUAUCAUUCGUAUUCAGUACUUCGAUCUGAAAGCAACACACAACAAUUUUACAAAAUUCUUUAAAUUUGAAUAUCAAAUAAAAAGUGAUUUAAUUUUUCGAUAAUAUUUUUAACUCGUUGAAAAAGUCACCGACUAAUUUUCUGAUUUGACAAAUAAAGUGAUUGACAGAAAAUCUAUUAAAUAUGGAUGGUGAAGGUGAGGCAGGAACACCAGCACCAGCUGCAACAACAGCUGGAGGAGAUCUUGUGCAAA